This 1047-nucleotide long non-coding RNA is filed under the name Sorghum bicolor (sorghum). RNAcentral describes it as "long non-coding RNA (SBIC_LNC011592)". Lineage: Eukaryota; Viridiplantae; Streptophyta; Magnoliopsida; Poales; Poaceae. The record is from RNAcentral.
CCUCUUAUCCUCCUCUUUCUUUCCUUCUCCCCUUCUCCUCCCUUUCUCCUCCUCCCUUUCUCCUCCUUCUCCUCCCUUUCUCCUCCUCCUCCUCCCCUUCUCCUCCUCUUCCUUUCCUCCUCCCUUUCUUCGGUGGCCGGCGGUGGGGGGAUGGACGGCCGACGGUGAAGGGGGAUGGGCGGCCAGCGGCAGCGUAGGUGGGUGUGGCGGUGGCGGUCAAGGAGCGUGGGGGUGUGAGCUGAGGGAGUGGGGGAGAUUGCGGGCGUGAUGUGGAUAAGUCCCCCCGAGGGGGGUUUGACGUGUGCUGGAUCAAGGGCACACGGCAAACAUCGGCUCUUUGCCGUGUGCCACGAUCGGGCUCACAGCGAACAUUUUUUACUUAUUUGUUUCAUUUUUUGUUUUCAUUUAUUUUUUCAUUUUAAAAACUCUUUGCCAUGUGUACCACUGCUAACACACGACAAACUAUGUGUUUGCCGUGUGCUGCAGCAAGGGGCACACGACAAACAGUUAACAACAUUUUAUGUAUCAAUCCUAUAAUUUUUUCUUUACAAGUAUACUUACUUAAUAAAUUGAAGUUUUUAUGUAAUUACUUUGUCAAAUUAACUUCACAAUGUCUAUUCCAUGUUUACAAACAUGUUACACCACUAUUUCAUGUGUUUAUUUCUUUAAUUGUGAAUUUUCUCGUUUCAAAAUCAAUAAAUGCUGAAAAUAAUUAAGAAAUAGCAAACGAUUCUGAAAAAUUCCCAAAUUUGGACAUGACACAACCUAUGUGGUGUAGUGCCUAUAGAAAAAGUUUCGAAAUUAAACUCAAAUACGAAAGUCAAAUCUACACCAACUCAUGCUCCUUCACUCGCAACUCUCUAAAACUUCUCCGGAGAUUGUCCGGUUUUUACACAUCAUACAUGACAACUUGUUCGAAAUCUUUCCAAACUUUUUCUAUGACCUCAUAUGUACAAGUUUCAAGAUUUAUGGAACAAAAUAGCAUUUAUUAUAAUUUUUGAAAAGUACUGACGCACGUUCGGCGUCGUGUCUCCUAACCACGGCAUU